Molecule: ribosomal RNA, 451 nt
Filed under: uncultured bacterium
Lineage: Bacteria
Description: partial 16S ribosomal RNA
Rfam family: Bacterial small subunit ribosomal RNA
Source: RNAcentral
GAUGAACGCUGGCGGUGUGCCUAAUACAUGCAAGUCGAACGAGGUCUUCGGACCUAGUGGCGAACGGGUGAGUAACACGUUGGUACCUACCCUCUAGUGGGGAAUAACUGGCCGAAAGGUCGGCUAAUACCGCAUAAUACCGCAAGGUUAAAGUAGUAAUACGCUAGAGGAGGGGCCUGCGUCCCAUUAGCUUGUUGGUAGUGUAAUGGACUACCAAGGCAACGAUGGGUAGCUGGAUCGAGAGGUUGACCAGCCACACUGGGACUGAGAUACGGCCCAGACUCCUACGGGAGGCAGCAGUAAGGAAUCUUCAACAAUGGGCGAAAGCCUGAGGGAGCAACACCGCGUGCAGGAUGACGGCCUUCGGGUUGUAAACUGCUUUUAUAUGGGAAGAUUAUGACGGUACCAUAUGAAUAAGCACCGGCUAACUACGUGCCAGCAGCCGCCGUAA